Molecule: non-coding RNA, 29 nt
Filed under: Rattus norvegicus (Norway rat)
Lineage: Eukaryota; Metazoa; Chordata; Mammalia; Rodentia; Muridae
Source: RNAcentral
UCCAAAGCAGGUACAUAGGAGUCCUUUGG